RNAcentral lists this small RNA (96 nucleotides) under Lelliottia amnigena. The record is from RNAcentral. Lineage: Bacteria; Pseudomonadati; Pseudomonadota; Gammaproteobacteria; Enterobacterales; Enterobacteriaceae.
UAGUUAGCCUGCAUUAAUGCCAACUUUUAGCGCACGGCUCUAUCCCAAGAGCCAUUUCCCUGGACCGAAUACAGGAAUCGUAUUCGGUCUCUUUUU